This 71-nucleotide transfer RNA is filed under the name Heterocephalus glaber (naked mole-rat). It matches the Rfam family "tRNA". From Rfam's summary of the family: Transfer RNA (tRNA) molecules are approximately 80 nucleotides in length. Their secondary structure includes four short double-helical elements and three loops (D, anti-codon, and T loops). Lineage: Eukaryota; Metazoa; Chordata; Mammalia; Rodentia; Bathyergidae. The record is from Rfam by way of RNAcentral.
GGGGGUGUAGCUCAGUGGUGAGCACCUGCCUAAAAUGAGUGAGGCCCUGGGUUGGAUCCCCAGGACCUCCA